UAGGGAAUCUUCGGCAAUGGACGAAAGUCUGACCGAGCAACGCCGCGUGAGUGAAGAAGGUUUUCGGAUCGUAAAACUCUGUUGUUAGAGAAGAACAAGGACGUUAGUAACUGAACGUCCCCUGACGGUAUCUAACCAGAAAGCCACGGCUAACUACGUGCCAGAAGCCGCGGUAAUACGUAGGUGGCAAGCGUUGGCCGGAUUUAUUGGGCGUAAAGCGAGCGCAGGCGGUUUCUUAAGUCUAAUGUGAAAGGCCCCGGCUCAACCGGGGAGGGUCAUUGUAAACUGGGAGACUUAAGUGCAGAAGAGGAGAGUGGAAUUCCAUGUGUAGCGGUGAAUUGCGUUGAUAUAUGGAGGAACACCGGUGGCGAAGGCGGCUCUCUGGUCUGUAACUGACGCUGAGGCUCGAAGGCGUGGGGGGCAAACAGG
RNAcentral lists this ribosomal RNA (429 nucleotides) under Gemmatimonadota bacterium. Its description in RNAcentral is "Gemmatimonadetes bacterium partial 16S ribosomal RNA". It matches the Rfam family "Bacterial small subunit ribosomal RNA", at positions 355 to 776 of the family's 1533-position model. The record is from RNAcentral. Lineage: Bacteria; Pseudomonadati; Gemmatimonadota.